GACGAACGCUGGCGGCGUGCCUAAUACAUGCAAGUUGAGCGCUGAAGGUUGGUACUUGUACCAACUGGAUGAGCAGCGCACGGGUGAGUAACGCGUGGGGAAUCUGCCUUUGAGCGGGGGACAACAUUUGGAAACGAAUGCUAAUACCGCAUAAAAACUUUAAACACAAGUUUUAAGUUUGAAAGAUGCAAUUGCAUCACUCAAAGAUGAUCCCGCGUUGUAUUAGCUAGUUGGUGAGGUAAAGGCUCACCAAGGCGAUGAUACAUAGCCAACCUGAGAGGGUGAUCGGCCACAUUGGGACUGAGACACGGCCCAAACCCCUACGGGAGGCAGCAGGAGGGAAUCUUCGGCAAUGGACGAAAGUCUGAACGAGCAACGCCGCGUGAGUGAAGAAGGGUUUCGGAUCGUAAAACUCUGUUGGUAGAGAAGAACGUUGGUGAGAGUGGAAAGCUCAUCAAGUGACGGUAACUACCCAGAAAGGGACGGCUAACUACGUG
Molecule: ribosomal RNA, 497 nt
Filed under: uncultured bacterium
Lineage: Bacteria
Description: partial 16S ribosomal RNA
Rfam family: Bacterial small subunit ribosomal RNA
Source: RNAcentral